Molecule: ribosomal RNA, 530 nt
Filed under: uncultured Bacteroidota bacterium
Lineage: Bacteria; Pseudomonadati; Bacteroidota
Description: bacterial SSU rRNA
Rfam family: Bacterial small subunit ribosomal RNA
Source: RNAcentral
AAUACCUUAUAAUAUAUGACUCUGGCAUCAGAGACAUAUCAAAGAUUUAUCGGUUAAAGAGGGGUAUGCGUGACAUUAGCUAGUUGGUGAGGUAACGGCCCACCAAGGCUACGAUGUCUAGGGGUUCUGAGAGGAUGAUCCCCCACACUGGUACUGAGACACGGACCAGACUCCUACGGGAGGCAGCAGUGAGGAAUAUUGCGCAAUGGAGGAAACUCUGACGCAGCCAUGCCGCGUGAAGGAAUGAAUGCCCUAUGGGUUGUAAACUUCUUUUAUAUGGGAAGAAAUAUAGAUACGUGUAUUUAUUUGACGGUACCAUACGAAUAAGGACCGGCUAACUCCGUGCCAGCAGCCGCGGUAAUACGGAGGGUCCAAGCGUUAUCCGGAUUCAUUGGGUUUAAAGGGUUCGUAGGCGGAUAGAUAAGUCAGUGGUGAAAUCCCGAAGCUCAACUUCGGAACUGCCAUUGAAACUGUUUAUCUUGAAUUUAGUUGAAGUGGGCGGAAUAUGACAUGUAGCGGUGAAAUGCAUA